Molecule: long non-coding RNA, 303 nt
Organism: Mauremys reevesii (Reeves's turtle)
Lineage: Eukaryota; Metazoa; Chordata; Testudines; Geoemydidae
Exons: 3
Source: RefSeq, a predicted model, not a curated record
CUCGUUGCCUGACACUGGUAUUUUUUGUCUUUAGCACGUCGGUGGAGGCUGUGAAGACUCUUUUUUCCAUGCCCGGAUACUGGAAGGAAUUUGCCAGCAUCCAAUUUCAGCAGGGUUGGGACAUGAUAGCCUCACGAUAUUACUACUCGCAGGGUGUUGGCGUGAUUGCAAGAGCCAUGAUCGAGUUUGAGAACCCUCAGCUCCCUGCCGUCUUCAGAGGCCGUCACCACUGUUCAAAGGGAGAAGGAGGAGGAGCAGAGAAAUAUCGCCAUAACUUUCUGCACUGAGUUUCUCCAGAGUCCU